Long non-coding RNA from Mauremys mutica (yellowpond turtle), 490 nucleotides. RefSeq lists it as uncharacterized. The record is from RefSeq and is a predicted model, not a curated record. NCBI's taxonomy places the organism in Eukaryota, Metazoa, Chordata, Testudines, Geoemydidae. The transcript has 3 exons.
GCUUUGGCAGCGAAGGAGCCGCCUGGCUGGAGGGGCUUUGUCAAGACCUGGGUGAGGGGGGAAGUUUGAUCUUUUGAGAGAGGUAGAGAUCCCAGGGGAGGGAGCCAGCGCUGGAAACAGGUGGCCCUGGGGGCUGCAGGAAACACCCUGUUGGAGAGAGAGACCAGCACUGCAGUGAGGAGCCCUGGGCUACGGAGACACACACUCUGCUCAGCUCGUUUCAAAUCCCUGCGUGACCAGCAGCCGGCCUGUUUGGGGGAAGUAGGCAGGAGCAUUUGACACAGCACAGGUGUGAGUGAUUUCACAGGCUGCAAAGCAGUGAAGAAUCAGGCUUGUUAAUUGCUAAGUAUUAUAACACAGAAAUAACUUUUGUCCUGGUCUAAUUUCUGAUGGCUCUUAUUGUGAAGCAAAUGUUAGAAACUAUUUUGAUGCUCCAGCAUUGUAUGUAUCAAGGUGAUAUACUGUGGCUACGUGACCUACAUGAUGUGAC